RNAcentral lists this unclassified non-coding RNA (418 nucleotides) under Melitaea cinxia (Glanville fritillary). RNAcentral describes it as "misc RNA ENSMCXG00005020925.1". The record is from RNAcentral. Lineage: Eukaryota; Metazoa; Arthropoda; Insecta; Lepidoptera; Nymphalidae.
UUAAAAUCGACUACUACGUAUAUACAUAUAUAAUACAUACAGAAUAUGUAUUUUUUUCAAAAUUAUUUAAAAAUACAAUUUUAUUCUUUGACAUCUAUUCCAAAGCGGUAAAAAAUCGAAUUACUCUCCAGUUUCCCACUUAUUUAGCCAUUCGUAGCCGCACUAAACAAUCCACAAUUUCAUCCCCAAUAUAAAUUUAUAUUAAAAUAUUCAUCAAAGAAAUUAUACAAAAUAUUCUUUUCCACGAUCGCUCAAUUUGCGAAAUUCCGCAGCAUACAAAUAAAUGCAAUUUCAUUUAUAACUAUAUAAUAUAAUAUACAUAAUAUAUUUUUUAAAUAUAAUUUAUUGCGUUUUUAUUUCAACAUUUAUAAGCGACACUUAGUUUUGAUAUAUGAUAUUUUUUUUAACAAGUUUCUGC